Sipha flava (yellow sugarcane aphid) is the source of this 584-nucleotide long non-coding RNA. RefSeq lists it as uncharacterized. The transcript is spliced from 2 exons. Lineage: Eukaryota; Metazoa; Arthropoda; Insecta; Hemiptera; Aphididae. The record is from RefSeq and is a predicted model, not a curated record.
UGUGGAGAUUUCGCCAGUGAAUCGUGACAGAGCUUAUGAUAAACAUAAUGAUAAACUGAUAACGCUUGGCCAUGUGGGUGGGCAAUGCGGAAAGCGGAACGGAGUAGAAGGUCGACCGCGCUAUCAAUAGCAACUGUCCGCCCGACCACCUCUGCGCAUGCGUGUUCCACUCUUUCCUUGGCGUUAUCGACAGAGAUUACAUGGUGAGGAGGAAGAGGUGGGAAACCAGUCUGUCAUCAAUACACGGUUGAAAAAUUCACUGAACGAGCGUGCAACAAACAUAGUGGAUACUCCAUACAAUCCAACCGCGAAUAACGAAUAGCGCGACGUCUGCACUCGCCGCCGCCGCUACCACUGUCACUAACGCUCCGAACGCGGAAAUAAGUUUCGGUCUAAUACAAAAUUUUCGCGUCGUCCGGUGAAAAAACAUGGAACCAUCGCCGCCGCCGAUGUUUACCAUCGUCUUAUCAUGAGCUUUUUUCGUUUCCAAGACGAGUGGUGUUUCCUUUUUGGCUCUAUCCGAAAACGGGCAAUCAAUUUUUUUUUUUUUUUAUUACAUAUACUUUGAUUUUCCAAAAAAAUAA